CGCCCGGUCACCAGGGCGGAUUUCAAAACCGUCUUG
This 36-nucleotide transfer RNA is filed under the name Paraphysomonas bandaiensis. Its description in RNAcentral is "partial Selenocysteine transfer RNA". The record is from RNAcentral. Lineage: Eukaryota; Chrysophyceae; Chromulinales; Paraphysomonadaceae.